CAGGUCGGUGUAGUCUGCCCCGUGUGUGUGCGUGUCUGUCACACAGCUUCCUGCUCUGGUAAGGCUUUUCUGUCUCUGGAGUUUCAAGCAACUUUGCUGAGGAAAAGCCACAGGCAGCACGAAAAUGCUCACAAGAGCUCUUCCUGUGAGAGGCCAGCUUCCAAGAAUCAGUUCUCUUCGAUUUAUUUAGCCUUUUGAUCUAAAACUAAGCUCCAUUUUGUUAGCAAUAAGAAACAGUUAAUAAUCUCCCUCCAUGACUCCUGCUGGAGCCUGAGCUGCUGUGGUCACAAAUUGCUGCUCAAACUCUGCUGUGCCUUCCUCUAUGCUUCCCCCUCUUCUCCCUUUCUGGAGGGAAGGAAGGGUUAAGCUCAUGUCCUCAUCGAGGAGCAAUAGCUCUUCCCAAAAGACAAGUCACAGGCAAACUAUCCAGUUGUAUAUGUCUCACUGAAGAAUUGGUACAUGAGUGAGACAUGACUUCAUCCUUUAACCUGCAUGCUUCACUGGUCUAGGGAACCCUGGUGGGUUUGGCCCAUUCUAGUCACAGUUGUCAUGGGAGAUCCUAAUGACUUAGUAAGGUAGCUUAAAAAAUCUCCAUGCAGAAUCCAGCAUAUGGUAUAUUUAUUGGCAAUGCUAAUCCCCCUAGGAACAAGUUCUGUAGUAACAAAUGGUGAAUUAUGUGGCUUCAUAAGCACUCAUGUCAUCAAAUGCACCACUGACCUUUUACAUUUUCAGGGGAAUUUUCUGCUCUGCAGUUUCUCUGGUUUGGAAGUGAAGCAGUUUAACAAUUUAUCCUGGAGGAAACAGGGACCCACCACAGUAACCACAAGGGUGACAGGUGCCCCUUCUCACAUAAGCCACUCCGAAGGGAGGGCAGACCGAGCUUUCCUUCGACGUCCUUCCCGCAGGGACGGGGCUGGCCUUCAGUAAUUUCCCCAAAGCCGCAGCAGCCCCGGCCCCGGCGAGGAGCCCCGCUGUCCCGCGGCCUCUCAGUUCCCGGAGGAAGCAGCAGAGGGCGCUCGUGCCUCGCGGAGCGCGACCAGAAGGGACUUUGCGGGACUGCUCACGGCUACAGCUUCACGCGGAGGCCUCAGGAAGCUGCAAGAAGUGUCAG
RNAcentral lists this long non-coding RNA (1111 nucleotides) under Meleagris gallopavo (turkey). RNAcentral describes it as "lncRNA (ENSMGAG00000019163.1)". The record is from RNAcentral. Lineage: Eukaryota; Metazoa; Chordata; Aves; Galliformes; Phasianidae.